AAACAUGUCUUUUUGAAUUAUAUUUAAAGUCUAACCUGCCCCCUGAGUAAUUUAAAUGGCCGCAGUAUUUUAACUGUGCAAAGGUAGCAUAAUCAUUAGUCUUUUAAUUGAAGGCUGGUAUGAACGGUUGGACGAGGUAUAAACUGUUUCAUUUAAAUUUAUAUUAGAAUUUUAUUUUUUAGUUAAAAAGCUAAAAUUUUAUUAAAAGACGAGAAGACCCUAUAAAUCUUUAUAUUUUAUAUUAUUUAAGUUUUUUAGAUGUAUUUUAUUUUUAUAGUAGAAAAUAUUUUGUUGGGGUGAUAUUAAAAUUUAAUAAACUUUUAAUUUUAUUAAAUCAUUAAUUUAUGAUUAAUUGAUCCGUUAAUAACGAUUAUAAGAUUAAGUUACUUUAGGGAUAACAGCGUAAUUUUUUUGGAGAGUUCUUAUUGAUAAAAAAGUUUGCGACCUCGAUGUUGGAUUAAGAUAAAUUUUAGGUGUAGCUGCUUAAAUAUUAAGUCUGUUCGACUUUUAAAUUCUUACAUGAUC
This 525-nucleotide ribosomal RNA is filed under the name Parastenopa limata. RNAcentral describes it as "partial small subunit ribosomal RNA". The stretch from base 394 to 525 matches the Rfam family "Bacterial large subunit ribosomal RNA", at positions 2473 to 2605 of the family's 2925-position model. Lineage: Eukaryota; Metazoa; Arthropoda; Insecta; Diptera; Tephritidae. The record is from RNAcentral.